This 392-nucleotide ribosomal RNA is filed under the name uncultured bacterium. RNAcentral's name for it is "partial 16S ribosomal RNA". It matches the Rfam family "Bacterial small subunit ribosomal RNA", at positions 523 to 918 of the family's 1533-position model. The record is from RNAcentral.
AUACGGAGGAUCCGAGCGUUAUCCGGAUUUAUUGGGUUUAAAGGGUGCGCAGGCGGCCAUUUAAGUCAGCGGUUAAAUCGUGGGGCUCAACCCCAUUCUGCCGUUGAUACUGGGUGGCUUGAUUGUGGUCGAGGUUGGCGGAAUUCGUUGUGUAGGGGUGAAAUGCAUAGAUAUGACGAAGAACACCGAUUGCGUAGGCAGCUGACCAGACCGCAAAUGACGCUCAUGCACGAAAGUGCGGGGAUCGAACAGGAUUAGAUACCCUGGUAGUCCGCACAGUAAACGAUGAAUACUUGUUUUCGGCGAUAUAAUGUCGGAGGCAAAGCGAAAGCGAUAAGUAUUCCACCUGGGGAGUACGCCGGCAACGGUGAAACUCAAAUGAAUUGGCGGGG